GAUGAACGCUGGCGGCGUGCUUAACACAUGCCAGUCGAACGGAAAGGCCCAAGCUUGCUUGGGUACUCGAGUGGCGAACGGGUGAGUAACACGUGGGUGAUCUGCCCUGCACUUCGGGAUAAGCCUGGGAAACUGGGUCUAAUACCGGAUAGGACCACUUCUUGGAUGUUGUGGUGGAAAGUUUUUUCGGUGUGGAAUGAGCUCGCGGCCUAUCAGCUUGUUGGUGGGGUAAUGGCCUACCAAGGCGUCGACGGGUAGCCGGCCUGAGAGGGUGUACGGCCACAUUGGGACUGAGAGACGGCCCAGACUCCUACGGGAGGCAGCAGUGGGGAAUAUUGCACAAUGGGCGCAAGCCUGAUGCAGCGACGCCGCGUGGGGGAUGACGGCCUUCGGGUUGUAAACUCCUUUCGCUAGGGACGAAGCGUUUUGUGACGGUACCUGGAGAAGAAGCACCGGCUAACUACGUG
Molecule: ribosomal RNA, 467 nt
Filed under: uncultured bacterium
Lineage: Bacteria
Description: partial 16S ribosomal RNA
Rfam family: Bacterial small subunit ribosomal RNA
Source: RNAcentral